RNAcentral lists this ribosomal RNA (476 nucleotides) under uncultured organism. RNAcentral describes it as "partial 16S ribosomal RNA". It matches the Rfam family "Bacterial small subunit ribosomal RNA", at positions 330 to 797 of the family's 1533-position model. The record is from RNAcentral.
CGUACACUCCUGCGGGAGGCAGCAGUGGGGAAUUUUGGACAAUGGGCGAAAGCCUGAUCCAGCCAUGCCGCGUGCAGGAUGAAGGCCUUCGGGUUGUAAACUGCUUUUGUACGGAACGAAACGGCCUUUUCUAAUAAAGAGGGCUAAUGACGGUACCGUAAGAAUAAGCACCGGCUAACUACGUGCCAGCAGCCGCGGUAAUACGUAGGGUGCAAGCGUUAAUCGGAAUUACUGGGCGUAAAGCGUGCGCAGGCGGUUAUGUAAGACAGUUGUGAAAUCCCCGGGCUCAACCUGGGAACUGCAUCUGUGACUGCAUAGCUAGAGUACGGUAGAGGGGGAUGGAAUUCCGCGUGUAGCGGUGAAAUGCGUAGAUAUGCGGAGGAACACCGAUGGCGAAGGCAAUCCCCUGGACCUGUACUGACGCUCAUGCACGAAAGCGUGGGGAGCAAACAGGAUUAGAAACCCUGGUAGUCCCA